This 489-nucleotide ribosomal RNA is filed under the name uncultured bacterium. RNAcentral describes it as "bacterial SSU rRNA". It matches the Rfam family "Bacterial small subunit ribosomal RNA", at positions 153 to 616 of the family's 1533-position model. The record is from RNAcentral.
GAAAGCGAUGCUAAUACCGAAUGAUAUCUCAAAAACUUCGGUUUUUGAGAUCAAAGGUGGCCGCUCCAUGGAAGCUACUGUUAGGAGAUGAGCCCGCGUACCAUUAGCUUGUUGGUAGGGUAAUAGCCUACCAAGGCAACGAUGGUUAGCUGGUCUGAGAGGAUGAUCAGCCACACUGGAACUGACACACGGUCCAGACUCCUACGGGAGGCAGCAGUGAGGAAUUCUGCGCAAUGGGGGAAACCCUGACGCAGCAACGCCGCGUGAGUGAUGAAGGCCUUCGGGUCGUAAAGCUCUGUCAAGUGGGAAGAACCUGCCCUGUGCUAAUAUCACCGGGCACUGACGGUACCACUGAAGGAAGCACCGGCUAACUCCGUGCCAGCAGCCGCGGUAACACGGGGGGGUGCAAGCGUUAUUCGGAAUCACUGGGCGUAAAGAGCGCGUAGGCGGUCUCUUAAGUCAGAUGUGAAAGCCCGGGGGCUCAACCCC